ACUCCAAUCUCAGCCCCUGUCUUCACGUGGCCUUCUCCUCUUCUCUCCUUUCUUAGUCUCUUAUGACACUUGUCCCUGCAUUUAGGGCUCACCCAGAAAUCCAGGAUGAUCUCGCUUCGAGAUCCUUAACUGAAUUACGUCUGCAAAGAUUGUUUUUCCAAAUAAGGUCACGUUCUGGGGAUUAAGACUCAGCUAUAUCUUUUCUGGGGGGCCACCAUCCAACCGCCUACAGUGGGAAGUGCAGGAACCAUUGAGCUCCUGUAGAUCUAACGCCUGGUGCAUAGAAGGCCUUGCCAGUCUUGACCAGGUCGGGGGGUGAGGUCAAGAUUCGGCACUGCUAAUCAGCUUCCAGGUGAGGCCAAGGUCGCGCCAUGUUGUUGAAUGCAGUCCCUUCAUGUUACAGAGAGCAGAGGGGACCACAGCCCGAGCCCCCUGCUGCCUCCCAGAGCGAGGCUCUCCUCAUCGUGGACUCACCGCCCUCUGUGUGCCUCGUCCAUCACAUACAUCCUAAGUGUCCCUCCCAGCCUGUGAGCUUCUAGAAGGCAUUGCAACCCGGCACAGGAGCUGACACUUACAAAUAUUCAGGAACAAGCCAGUCCUCGAAGUCUCAUGUAGGGGAAAGAUCAUGAGAUCUGGAGGUGAAGGAGUGGCCCUAACUGGCCCUAAACACUUCAAGUGCCCCUGGGCACGUGGUUUCAUGGCUCUGAGCCUCGAUUUCUUCCUCUGGACAGGGUCUUCCUCUGUCACCCAGGCUGCAGUGCAGUGGCGCAAUCAUGGCUCACCGCAGCCUCCACCUCCUGGGAUCAAGGGAUCCUCCCACCUCAGCACCCCGAGUAGCUGGGACCACAGGCGGACGCCACAGCAUCUGGCUGUUUGUAUAUUUUGUAGACAGGGUUUCACCAUGUUGGCCAGGCUGGUCUCGAAUUCCUGGGCUCAAAUGAUCCACCUGCCUCAGCCUCCCAAAGUGCUAGGAUUACAGGAGUGACCCACCGUGCCCAGCACCCCCUUUACCUCUGAGCAAUCCAUCUCUCUCCUUGGGGGCACCCCAUGAUCUAGACACCACCCACCUUGUUCUGCCUUGGCCAAAAUACCACCUAACUGCCCCCACCUAUGCCAGGUGCCCCUCACCCACCCUCCUCCACCCUUCGCUGAGUCCCACUUGGCUGGUGCCCAGGACAGGGACAGUCCCAGCCCUUCCAGCCCAUCUCCCCACAUCAGUACACUCCGGAGAGCCAGCCAAGAGUAGAUUCUUUAUUCAUUUCUCUUUUUUUUCUUAAAAAAAAAAGUAUUCAUUUGGUAUAAAAAAUAAAUAUUUUAAAUAUGAC
RNAcentral lists this long non-coding RNA (1325 nucleotides) under Homo sapiens (human). RNAcentral's name for it is "non-protein coding LIF-AS1:9". The record is from RNAcentral. Lineage: Eukaryota; Metazoa; Chordata; Mammalia; Primates; Hominidae.